RNAcentral lists this unclassified non-coding RNA (250 nucleotides) under plant metagenome. RNAcentral's name for it is "partial contains small subunit ribosomal RNA, internal transcribed spacer 1, and 5.8S ribosomal RNA". The stretch from base 181 to 250 matches the Rfam family "5.8S ribosomal RNA", at positions 1 to 55 of the family's 154-position model. The record is from RNAcentral.
GUAGGUGAACCUGCGGAAGGAUCAUUAAAAAAGGGUCGCAAGACCCAUUUUAAAACCUAUCACCACCUCUCAUCGUCUAUAGACUUGUCUAUGGGGGUGAGAUGGAGGAGGUAGGACUUUUAAACCCAAUUUUUAUAAAAUAUAUAUAUCUCGUCUAAGGACGAAACAAAAAAAUGUAAAAACUUUCAACAAUGGAUCUCUUGGUUCUCGCAUCGAUGAAGAACGCAGCAUCUGACUGACUGGAAGCUUG